Molecule: transfer RNA, 68 nt
Filed under: Marmota monax (woodchuck)
Lineage: Eukaryota; Metazoa; Chordata; Mammalia; Rodentia; Sciuridae
Description: tRNA.Asn
Source: RNAcentral
GGAUUGUGGCUCAGUGGUAGAGCUUUCACCUAUUACCUGUGAGGCCCUGGGUUCGAUCCUCAGCACCA